Molecule: long non-coding RNA, 621 nt
Filed under: Gallus gallus (chicken)
Lineage: Eukaryota; Metazoa; Chordata; Aves; Galliformes; Phasianidae
Description: lncRNA (ENSGALG00010030060.1)
Source: RNAcentral
GGAGAAGAGGAGGCUGCAGGGAGACCACCUUGUGGCCCUAUAAUGCUACAACAGAGUGUAUAAAUUAGAGGGAGAACAAUUUUUCUGAAGGUGAACAGAAAUAAGACACGGGGGAAUGUUUUUAAACUGAGAAGGGAUGUUUAGGUUGGAUAUUAGGAGGAAGUUGGUGACACUCAGGGUGGUGACGCACUGAACAGAGUUACAGUUGCAUCUUGCUCCGGCUGCCAAAGACAGGAGCAGUUAGGGCAGUUGGGGAUGGGUGCAAAGAUGCCCCAGGUUGCCACUGGCGACACCGUUAUGAAGUCACUCCAGGGUUCCGGCCGUGGCAACGAGCCCACCAAGAGCAACAAACGCCUCUGCGCAGUGCUCCUGCUCUUGCCAGGCUCUGCAAGUUGACAGAGCUGACCAACAGCCGGCUUUGCUGCUGCCGAGAGUGGCAGACAGCCUGCAGGGCACAAGGAACAAGAGGCAUCUCGAAACAGAGGCUUUGGGAAAGCCGUCCGUUGGGCGAUGUUUGCCUGGAGGGCAGAAGACUUCUCAGCCCAGCCAAGGGCACAGAGAGCCAUCCCCCAGCCUGUGCCAGCCUUCCAGCUGCAAGAGACUGCUCACGGCACUGAUGGC